AGCAGGGGCCUCUGUGUGUGUGUGUGUUCCUUCGGUGAGGUAGUCGGGGCGUUGUGAGGGCUCGCCGCCUUGCUUGUGUGCGUGGAGGUACGAGGAGGGGGGUGGUCACGGCUGUGUGUGAGCAGCCCCUUCGCACCGCCGCUGCCUGACGCAUCUAUUUUCAUUGCAGCUCUUGACGAUUGCCGAGGACGCUGUGCCCGUGAUCAUGCAUGUGCGUAUGCGCGGGUCGAACGUGAGCGGUAGCGCGCGCAGAAACACUCCGUCGUCCUCCGUGGAGCCACCGGCAACAGCAGCAGCAGCUGGUUGGGACAGCAGUGUCCUUGUAAACCGAGGCCACGGCGUUGUUGGCGACGCCGCACGUCAAAUCUACUGCGCUGCCGGGAUGGACCGUAUCAGUGUGACUCCGCUCGCCAGCGCAGCCGCGCCUCCCUUUCCGUGGUCAUCCAAGUCCUACGUCACGAGUCACGGCACUCACGCCGAUGCGGCUGCGCGCGACACCAACGCAGCGGUGUUGGCAGGGUCGACUAUCCAAGACAGCGAUGUGAUGCUGGGCACCACACCGGACACGCACAGGCGCUCGCGCCACAUGGCGUCCCCGUCGCAGCAUCCGGGCGACUCGUCGCUGGUGUUCGCCAUGAGCGAGGACAGCGAGCUGAAGGUGCUGGCGAGCGGCGUCAGUCCCUCAGCCGCGCUGCCACCAGCGACAUGCACCUCCUCGUCGAAUGCCAUCCACCCCCCUUUGCCGCACUCUUCACAGUGCACCGUAGGUCACAGCCGCACCACACGCACCCAUGUGCCUAUGGCUGGCAAUAUCGGUGAGGGCGACUGCAGCGUCUACGCGGUGAACCGGCGCGGCAGCCAACACAACAGGCACGGAUUUGCCGGCGCAGCAUUGGCCGAAUACAACGCUGUGGCAGACAUGGGGCACCUCAUGCCCCACACACCAAGCGUGCGUCGUCAGAGCGACGUCGACGUCGUCGUGCCGGGCGGUCCGCACGAGGCGCCCAUUCAGAAACCUUCGGUGCAGUUGUCGCACCACCAGCUGGGUGGCAGUAUUCGAGGUGGAGCAGCGACGAUGGCAGGUAUGCCGAGCAGCGCCGGUGCCGCCGCUGCCCCGGUGUACCGCACAAGCCCCCAUGAGGUGCGAACACCGCCCGCGCUGCAGGUCUUCACCGGCGUUGCUCCUGGAGUUCACAAGGUGCGUGGAACAACAGCGGCCACCACCGCCCCCGCUGCAACAGCAGCUCCUGCUCCUCCUCUUCAUAGUGGUGCAGGUGUGCGGUGGCCGCAACGACAGAUGCCCUCCGUCUCCCUGUACUCGGCAGGUGGUGGCGGCGGUGCGGCGUUCGUGCACGGCGCGAGCCGGACCUCCUCUUCGACGGCCGCGCUGCACGCCACCGCUGGCAGCGAUCAGCUAGUGCAACAGCAACCAGCGCAGCUGCUGCAGCAACAGCCUCCCUCUGCUGGUGUCAGCAACGCGGCAGACGCGCGCUCGCAGCACAGCGGAACGCCGCCGCCGCCGGCCUCGCAACCGCUGGACAAGAACUUUACAGAGGCCCAGCGUCUGGCCGUCCUGGAGGAGGUGCAGCAGGAACUGUACCUGAACUACACAGCAGUGCCAGUACCGGACAACAUGAUCAACUCAGGCGACACCGAAGAACGCCGCCGUCGGCUGGACCAGCGCCGCAAACAGAUCGUAUAUGGAAAGGAGACGGAGGGCUACCUCAAAUACACCUCCAUGAUAUCCCGCCCGUGCGACCGGGAGUACCACAACCCGCUGCACGCCAUCACGCCGCGCCCCGAAUACGACUGCAGCAAGCGCCAGUUCGAUCGCGUCCUGAACGCGUGGCGGCGGCAGCUGCAUCAAUGGGAUGACUACGACGCGGACAACAUCGAUGAGCGCUUCUUUCCCCUUGGUAAGGCCUCGCUGCUAGACUUGGGACUAUGCCACCCCCCGGCGAACCACACGCCAACGACCGCCACCGCAGCAGCAGCACCAGGCGCCACUGCGCCGCCGCCUGGAAAGCCGCCGCAGGCGCCGCCUGCCGGCGUGAUGCACUCCAUUGCCAACGUCGCGGCCAUGGCGAACGGCGUUCACGGCGAUGACGGCGCCAUGCAAUGUCACUCGCGCAGCCCUGUCUUCACCGAGAACAGUCCGACCUCAGGGCUGUACUCGUCCGCCAGUCUCAGCAUGCACAUCAGCUCGGGCCGCGCCGCCUCCAUGGCGACCGCGUGCACCCCGUCGCGCCCGCAGCUGUCCGAGGGGGCCGAUGGUCCGAAGGUGGAUGAGUCGUUCUUCUUCCACAUGAACUCUGGCAACAGCCGUAUCGCCUCGCCGUUCCAUCCCACCUACUCCGGAACCGGCCACAUGGGCCAUGGCGGCGGGAAUGGGCGGAGCAGCGCCAACUCGCAUUACCAGCAGCUCAUCAUGCGCAACAGCGCCGCGCACGUGCACAACAACGCAAACGGUGGUACCCCAGGCAGCAGUUGCGCGAAUUACACAGGUCUUACUCCAGCACAUCGCCCGGCCAGCCGCGGCGGCAUGCCGCACCACAUUACAUCCAUCUUCGGCAGCGAGUAUGAGCUGAUGACGCCGUCGGGCCUCGCCUCGCCCGCCGGGAUGCCGCACAACCCCCGAAACGGCAGCAGCCCGUACCCGCUCGGCGAGCCGUGGAUGCCGAAUCGGCGCAGUCCAACAUGUGUCGUGGGAGCCACUCACGGCUUUGGCUGUCACCACCCCUCGACCGCCGCUCUGAGUGGAGUGACCGCUUCGAACGGCAGUGGCACGGCGAUGAUGGUGGGCGGGGGGCGGGGCGAGUCCCCGCCGCACACGACAGAGAUGGCGCUGAUCCCGAGCACGUCGCUCUCCAACGGAAGCGGCUUUGCGCAGUCGCCGUACAGCUACCGCGUCCACUCGCCUGUUCAGCCCCAGAGUGCACUACCGCAGGCCACCAGCACCUAUGCCACGCCCCUCACGCGCCAACAAAGCCGGCCGAGCCUGAGCGGGUAUACGAACGCCGUUCCCGCUGCUGCCGGCAUUCACCACCAACAGCAUCAGUCGAACAGCUCAAGUGGUGCUCGAGUCGGACCCCCACAGCAGCAACAGCAACGAGUGGCCAUCGCCACUGGCACUGCCGCCGCCGCCUCACGUUCCGCGCGUGGGAGUGGCGUGAGCGGGUUACCAACAAGCUAGGCACUGUCACACGCACGCCGACGCGCAUGCACACGUGCGCACUUGCACCAAGGCAACACGCUGCAUGGCCGCUGACGAUAGAGCUCACCAACUUGCGUUUAGAUAGUCUUAGCAGCCUCGCCUGUGUCAUGGCUGCCCAACGGUAGUGCGCACGCAUGUGUGUGUGUACCCCACUGCACUCGCCCACACAUGUAUUUCCGGAACGUAUCGGUGCGCUCCAUCACUCCACCGCACUUGGCACCAUGUCAUGUGUUGUGGAGUGCGGAAAGGAAAGGUGGGUGGAUACGGAGGCAUGAUGUGCGGGGAGGGGGGAUGUUGGGUAGUGAGGCGGAUGUGUUGAGCACAGUCUUUCCAACCACCCCGCAUCUCCUCGCCGUGGUAAUCACGUAUUGCCGCUCUUUGGUGUUUUCCUGUUCUUGUGUCGCGACUGAGUGAGCGAGAGUGGGUGACAGAAUGGCUUGUCGCCAUCAUCUCCUCUCUCCCCAUUCUACGCACCGUCUCUGGUCGGCUCGCGCUACACGCACACGCAUACACCCAGCUGGAACACACUCCCGCGCACAGCGACAGCACCGGCGCACUCUCGUCAUGCACACUCGUUGCAACAUACCGUGGAAAACCCGAGAAGCAGGAACGAAGUGAGGAGUAGAGGUCAAGAAGGGGUGUGUGCAGUGCCGGCCACCGAGCACGUGCGGAUGCGACGCGGACGGCGACGCCUAUGCUCGCAUCCAGCCGCGAUAUCUUGCAUGUAUGUGGGUGUAUAAAUGCAUGUGUUUGUUGAUAGGAUGGGAGCUAGGAUGGCCCGGGGAGGGGGAGGGGGGGGGGGCAGAGGCAGCGGCGAGGCGUAGAAGCGCCGCGUGUAUGGAGAGGGAUGGAGUUUGUUGAACAUGCGACUCUUGGAACGCGCUUCCGCCUCCUCAGCCUCCCCUCCCCGCCCCGCUCCUCCUCCUCGCCGCUGUCCGAGCCGCAUUUGACGAUGAGAGGUGGUGUAGUCGUUUCUUGCUCUCUCUGCGUUGUUUGUGCUUUCUAUUUAUUCCCCCCCCGCCUCUCCGUGUCUCUCACUCACACGGCCUGCGGUCCACAACCCACCCGCCCUCUGUCGCCUUUCAUUCUCGAUAGACCCGAAGAGUAAACGAAGAGGGCGCAUCUCAGCAAGCAAGCAGCGCACACAAAGGACAGGCUGUGCGUCUGUGCGUGUGUGUGUGUCUCGCGUAACGACAUACCCACCUACCCACACCCGACUACCACUACCACCUCGCCUGUGCCUCUCCCGAAUGAUGAAUGGGGCCAUGCCCCGCCGUACGACGAGGCCACAGGAGUUAAAUGUGGGAGGGGGAGGCUUCUCCAACGAUGUAUGCGUGUGUGCGCGAUGGAUUCCGCUCCCGCAGAAAGCACAAAAUGGCCGAUAGUGGGUCUGAGCAG
Molecule: unclassified non-coding RNA, 4612 nt
Filed under: Leishmania donovani
Lineage: Eukaryota; Euglenozoa; Kinetoplastea; Trypanosomatida; Trypanosomatidae
Description: gene:LdHU3.25.2360(CDS-product:Histone_RNA_hairpi n-binding_protein_RNA-binding_domain_containing_protein_put ative)
Source: RNAcentral